AGGGAGAUAAGUUAAAAAAACUACGGGGUUCAUGUCCCCAUAAUAUACUUUGUAUUCUCCCUA
Molecule: transfer RNA, 63 nt
Filed under: Schyzocotyle nayarensis
Lineage: Eukaryota; Metazoa; Platyhelminthes; Cestoda; Bothriocephalidea; Bothriocephalidae
Description: tRNA-Met
Source: RNAcentral